UCAACCUUUCCAAUACAUGGUUUUCAGAAGUCCCAUCCCAAGUCUCCCACCUGUCAAAAUUGGUUUCACUUGAUCUCUCCUCUCGGAUUGAUUACUCUGGGCAAGUUACAAUUGACAAACAUGCUCUGGAGGGACUUGUUCACAACCUAACCGAGGUCAGACAUCUGUUUUUGGAUGGAAUCAACAUGACUUCUGUUAAUGCUCAUGUCUUCAUGAAUCUAUCCUCUUCUCUAAGGUCUCUCAGUCUUGCUUUUUGUGAUUUGCAAGGAAAAUUCCCAAAAAACAUUUUUGAUUUGCAAAACCUCAAUCUCCUCAACUUGAGAUACAACCAAUUGAGUGGACAAAUUCCAAGAUCAUUGGGGAACCUCUUGCAACUCACUCAUUUACACUUGUCGGGGAACCAAUUGAGUGGACAAAUUCCAUUGUCAAUUCUAAACCUAACGCAGUUGGAAUACUUGGAAAUAUCUGAAAAUUCUUUAGAAGGUUCCAUUCCAGAUGAGGUAACCGCUUUUCCUAAUCUAAUAUAUUUAUACUUAUCUGACAAUUUACUCAAUGGAACACUUCCGUCAUGGUUGUAUACUGCUCCCUGCUUAAAGGAAAUAUAUCUCUCUCAAAAUCAAUUCAGUGGGCAUAUCAAAGAAUUCCAAACCAAAUCACUAGAAUAUUUAUAUCUAGAAAAUAAUAAACUCCAAGGUCCCCUUCCAUCUUCAAUAUUCCAACUUCUCAAUCUUACCGGGCUCCUUUUAUCCUCAAAUAAUCUUAGUGGUGUCAUAGAGUUGAGCAUGUUCUCAAACCUUCCAAAUCUCAAAUAUCUUGACCUUUCAUAUAACAGCCUAUCCUUAAUAUCUAAUACUACUUCUACUGUUAAUCAUAUAUUGCCUAAUCUUACAGGCUUACAUUUGUCAUCUUGCAAUCUUAGUGAAUUCCCCCAAUUUUUGAAAGGGCUUAAAAGUUUGGAAAGCUUAGACCUCUCUUGCAACAAAAUUGAAGGCAAGAUUCCACAGUGGAUGCAAGAGGUGGGGAAUGUCUCUUUGACUUACUUCAACGUAUCUCACAACUCUUUGACAGAAGUUGAGCACUUUCCAUGGAAGAAUAUUGAUGUUCUUGACUUAAGCUCCAAUUUGAUCAGUGGAAAUCUUCCGAUUCCAGCUUCGACGAUCAGAGUCUUUCUGAUCUCAAAUAAUAGUUUCAAUGGAGAGGUCUCUUCUUUAAUAUGCAAUGCCAGUUCUCUUCAAAUUCUUGAUUUGUCCCACAAUAACUUGAGUGGAACAAUUCCGCAAUGUUUCGGAAAUUUGAGCGACAGCCUUGAAUUCUUGAAUCUGAAGAAGAACAAGUUUUAUGGGACGAUUCCUCCAACAUUUGCAGAGGGAUGCCAGUUGACUAAUUUCAACUUAAAUGGAAAUCUGUUAGAAGGGCCUUUGACACCAUCCAUCCUUAAUUGUAGAGGUCUGGAAGUGCUAGAUCUUGGUAACAACAAGAUCAAUGAUACAUUUCCUCAUUGGUUGGGAAAUCUUCCAUAUUUGCAAGUUCUUGUAUUGAAGUCAAAUCAUAUGCAUGGUUCUUUGCGUGUCAAUAGCUCCAAGUCUAGCCCCUUUUUCUCUAAAAUCCAAAUUUUUGACCUCUCAAGUAAUUAUUUUUCUGGACCCCUACCUGUGAGGUACAUCAACAGCUUCAAGGCUAUCAGAAAUCUAGAGAAGAUUCGUAGUACAGUGUCGUACAUGGGGGUGAAUGGUCGGAAUGGUAGUGGCUUCUAUACCUAUUCCAUUGGAAUUGUUAUGAAAGGACAAGAUAUGGAAUUGGUGAAAAUUUUCACCAUGUGGAUGAUCAUUGAUCUAUCAAACAAUCAGUUUGAAGGGGGUAUUCCAGAGGUUUUUGGAAAGCUUAACUUACUGAAAGGGCUCAACCUUUCUCAUAAUAACCUUAGUGGUGGUAUCCCCACCUCAAUAGGGAAUUUGACAAGUCUUGAAUGGUUGGACCUAUCUUCAAACAGGUUGUCUGGGACGAUUCCAAAUAGAUUGGCAGAUCUGGCAUUUCUUUCGUCCUUCAAUGUUUCUGAAAAUCAACUCCAUGGUCAGAUUCCUCAAGGAAAACAAUUCAACACAUUUGGAAAUGAUUCAUAUCAAGGGAAUAAGGGACUAUGCGGGUUUCCAGUCUCGAAAGGUUGCAACAUCAUUGAGCCAGCACCUCCAAAUGUGCUUGAAAAAGAUGGCUCAAAAUCAAACAUUACUUUUGGUUGGAAAGUGGUGUUGAUAGGUUAUGGAUGCGGAGUGGUGUUCGGAAUGUCCGUGGGAUAUGUUGUUUUCCAAACUGGUAAGCCGAAAUGGUUGGUGAAUUUGGUUGAAAUCCAACAUGAGAAGAUGCGAAGAAGAAAGUCAAAGGAUGGCAGUCGCAGCAAUGGACGAAGAAGGAUCUAGUUAGUGGAAAUGGUGUUCAAGUGUUGAUGUUGUAUCUUCAUAAUUUCUUGUUUUGAAGUCUUUCAAUUUUUUUCCUAUGGUGAAAGGUUGCAUUGCCAUGCAUCUGUCUUUAUUAUUGUAACAAUUCAUCUAUAUUUCAUUGCAUUACGUCCUAUAACAUUUUGUAUGGUUCAACCAUUUAUAUCUUCUUUCAUGACUUCCAUUUUUGAGUCUCAAUAAUCUCUGCAUUCAAGAUUUUGUCAGCUUAUUAAUUGGUGGAUCAAUAAUCUUCAUGCUCAUCUCAUCAUCUUUUUCUCGAGUUUCUUCUGUGUGGAAAAUAAUUUGACAUUCUGCAAAUUUCCACAAUGCUUGUGGAUUACCUUUGGUUAACAGCUAUACAUAUAAAGGAAGAAAACAAGACCAUGUCCAAAUUUCCAAAAAUUAGCCAUUGAUUUUUGAACAGUUAAACUUUCGUAUUCUAUUUUUUAAAAUUGUAAAUUCUCAAAUAAUGUAAAUUAGUCCUAAAACUCAAGUUUUGAAAUCUUUACAAUUUAACCCCUUAUAGUUUCAAACUUUACUGUUUUAUACUCAACUUUCUAAAUUUUCAUAUUUCAUGAUCAUAUAAUUUAGUUACUACAUCAAUAUUUGAGAUUUCACUACUCAAACCCUUACUUCAUUUCGGUCGUUACUUCAAUUUUAUCAAAUUACAUCAUUUUUCAAUUUGAAUGCAUUGAUGUGAAAUUGAGGGACCACUAAACAAUGUUGAUGAGAGUUUAGGCAAAAUUGGUGGAUCCGAUCUCCUUAGUAAUUUCUUUGUGGAAGUACCUACUUUCACAAUGCAAACUUGGAUAGUUUGUGGUGGACGAUGAUGAAUCAUUUCACAGUCAAACACAUAAUUUUUAAACACAAAAUUAACGAUAUAUUGAAAUCAUUAUUGAAAUUAUAAUCAAAAUUAAUACAUGUUCUUUUUAUUAGCUUAAGGGCGUAAAAACCCUUCAAAAUUUUCAAAAAAAAAAAAUUUAAGUCCUUUUUUUCUACUCAAUUGAGCACUUAAACUUUUAAAAUGUAUCAAAAAUAUCUUUACACUUCUUCAAAAAAAGCAAUUAAACCCCUUUUUUUUCCGCUCAAUUGGGUACUUGAACUUUCAUAAUGCAUAAAAAAAACCUUAAAUUUUUUUUCAAAGAAACAAUUAAGCCUCUAUUUUUUUCCCACUCAAUUGGGUACUUGAACUUUCAUAAUGCAUCAAAAAGGCCUUUAUUUUUUUUCAAAAAAGCAAUUAAGCCCCUACUCUUAUUAAAAAUUAGAAAAAAUCAUAAAAAUAAUAAAGUUCAAGUACCCAAUUGAGUGCCAAAAAAUAAAGUAGGGGCCUAAUUGCUUUUUUUGAAAAUGUUUGAGGGUCUUUUUGAUGUAUUUUGAAAGUUCAAGUACCCAAAUGAGUGCAUAAAAAGAACAGGGGUUUAGUUGCUAUUUUUGAAAAAGUUUGCACCCUUAAACCUCUUUUCUUUUUCUUUUUCAUAUGUGGCCUUGUUUGCUACAACUUAGUUGCUAAGUUAAAGGGAGUGAAUAGAGCACCAUUUUCUUCUUCUGCGUGGAAAAUUAAGUUGGCAUUAUGCCAAUUUCCACAUUCAUACAUACAAAGGAAGCAAGAGCAAGUCAAUAUACUUUGUAAUCUCAUCAAUUCUAAUUUUUAAAGUGUUGUUUACUACACACUUAGGGACCAUAUAUGUAUAUAUACAUUGCAGUCUGGGUCUUUGUCGUGUUUUGUUGGUUGGCUAUGGCCUUCUUGUUGUUUCCACUGUCUGCGGUGUUUGUUUCUAAGUCAUAUGUGGCCCUGUUUGCUACAACUUAGUUGCUAAGUUAAAGGGAGUGAAUAGAGCACCAUUUUCUUCUUCUGCGUGGAAAAUAAGUUGGCAUUAUGCCAAAUUCCACAUUCAUACAUAUAAAGGAAGCAAGACCAAGUCAAUAUACUUUCUAAUCUCAUCACUUCUUCUUUCUUUAGGGAGUUCAAGUGAAAUACAAAUUUUUUCACAUCCAAUCUCAUAAAUAAUCCGUCUUUGAACUUUCACCAAAAAAUAUUAAAUACCCAUUCACUUCAAUUCUACUAUUCUUAAAUCAUUAAAGUUUUGUGGAAAAUAUGCUUCUUGGAUAAAAUUAUUCAACACACAUGCCUUGAAUUUUAUGCAAAUAAAAUAAAUGAAUAUAGGCCACACAUGCUUUGAAUUUUUAAGUAGUCCAUAAUUUUGUUCGUUUGUGUGCAAAAUUCUACAUUGCUUGACAGCCAUACAUACUAAGUAAAUAGACACCCACAUUGUUUACAUAUUAUGAGGAAGAAGACCAAGUCAAUCUACUUUGUAAUCUCAUCAAUCUUAAUUUUUUCAGUUGUUUAGGGAGUUCAAAUGAAAUACAAAAUUUUGAAAAAAAAAUGUAUCCAAUUUUGUGAAUGAAAAAUUUAUGGUAAAAAGGAUUUGGUAUGGAUACUUCAGCCCGGGUAGCAAUACUCAGGGUAAGUUUAUCAAUACAUUGCUUUUGGUUGGAAAGUGGUGUUGAUAGGUUAUGGAUGCGGGGUAGUGUUUGGAAUGGCCAAAAUAUAGCAAUCGCAUCAGUGGAUGAAGAAGGAUCUAGUUGGUGCAAAUGAAGUUAAAGCAUUUCUGCCGUCUCUUCAUAAUUUCUUGUUUGGUAGUCUGUCAGAAAGUUUUUCCUAUGGUGAAAAGUUUGAGUUGCAUUUAUAAAAUUUCCACUGUCAAAAGAUUCGAUUGCACUGCAGGGUAACAUAUUUAAGAUUGGAUUACACUGUCAAAAGAUUGCAGCAACGAUGAGAUUAAUCCAAUUACAGGAAUUGGUAUCCUAAAUGGCUUUUUGGUACGUAGCUUCAUUGACGGUACAAACUAGUUAAAAUUUCCAGCAUUCAUGUGUUUGUUUUCCCUCAAGUAAACGUAGUCAAUACUGCAAAUGGUGUGGAAGUACUGUACAUUGUGGCCCAAAUGUCCAAAAUUUCCACAUUGCAUGUAAAUUAAGUUUGCGUGAGAGAGAUAGGAGGAAGCAACAGCAAGUGUGAAGUCAAUAGACAACUGAUAGUCUUAGUCUUUUUUUGUCGAGUUAAAGUGUAGUCAAUAGACAAUUGAUAGUCUUAGCCCUUUUUGUGGAGUUAAAAGUAUAGUCAAUAAACAAUUGAUAGUUAAAUUUGUAGCAUUCUUCUUCCUCUUUAUUCUUUUGUGUGGAAAAUUAUUUGGGACCAAACUUGACGUGUUAUAAGGAAGAAGACUUUGUAAUCUCAUGAAUGUUAAUUAUUUUACUUCUUUGGUAAAAAAAGUAACCAAUUUUAUGAAUGAAAAAUAUUAUGUGGUAAAAAGGAAGUAGUUGUUCAUCACUAACAAUAUGAUGAUUGUGGAAAUACAAAAAAUCCCAUAUAUGUGUUGAAUUCUGCAUAAUAUAAAUGUCCUGCAUUGCAUGUGAAUUCUGCAAUAGACCAAACUUUACGUGUUAUAGUCCUUUAAACUGAGUUAAUGAAAAGUAACCAUUCUUAUCAAAUUUAGUUAUACUCUUAAUUUAUAACAAAGGAAAGAGUAAUUUGAGUUUAACUCAAAGGUUAAUAUGUCAUCAAUGGGUGAUGGCGUGGCGCUACCAUGUCAGCGAUUAUUUUCUUCUUUGAAUUAAGGUGAUUUCACCAAUUUUAGUUUACUUUUUUACUUCAAUUUAGGUUUAUGCUUAUUAGCUUCAAAGAUUCUAAGUGGGUGCCACAAUCAAAGGGUGAGUAAAAAGGGUUAAAAAUGAUUUUUUUAAAAUUUUUUAUUUUUAUUAAAAAUUUAGAAUUAGAAUUAGACAAAUUUUGUAAAAGUUAAGGGCUAACUUUAUUGAUUUUUUUUUUCAGAAUUCGAACUAAAAUUACAUUUUGUAAAAAGAGCUAAAUUUGUUGAGUUUUUUAUAUUUAGGAUCAAAUUGAUAGAAUGUGUAAAUAUUAGAGGUUAAAUUUGUUAUUAGAUCAAUAAAAAAACCCACAUUAGCUUUGCGUCACUCAUCUAACGACAACUAAAGGGAGAGUUAUUAAAAUAUUUAAUUUCAAAAAGUUUAGCAACUAAAUUGGAAAAUUUAAUAGUUGGGUGACUAUUUUUGCAGUUUACUACUUUUUUGGUCACCUGACUAUUAAGUGACACUUUUUAGUUGGUAUAAUAAUAAUUUUAGUCCUCAAUUUUUAUACUUUCUGUCAAUUUGACUCUGAUUAUAUAAAAUGAUUACAAAAGUGAAAUUCUUUUUAAAAUUUACAAAAUUCUAAAAAUUAAAAAUUAAAUGAAAGUAGAUAAAAAUUUCAAAUAUAAACAAAGUGAGAGAAAAUGAGGGAAAUAUUAUUUUUAAACCCUCCAACUUUUCUUUGUAUUAUCGUAAAGAAAUAUCUAAUAUCCAUUCUUUUAGAAAACAUAGAAAAAAGUAAAAAAAAAAAAGAUUAAGUAAAAUUAUCUGUAUAUAAUCUGCUUUUAUAAUUUGGGUUUUUAAAAAUAAAUUUAAAUGAAUUGAAAAUUCGAAUUGAGUUUGAAAAAUAAAAUUUUGUGGUAUAUUUUAUAUUUUUGCUAGAAAAAUGGCAUCAAAGUUGAUUUUGUAAGCUUUUGUAAUAUCAGUUACGGAUGUUCUUCAAGGGCAUGGAACUCAACUUGAAAAUUUUACUAAUUUGGUUGCAAAAAAACAUUGAGGAAGCAUAUAAUGAUCUAACCUUUUUUGUUUUGUUUUGUUUUUAAUUUGUUAUGGGAUUCUAUUGAAUGAUAAUUUUUUUUUAUUUCCCAUACAUAUUAGUUCUUCAAAAACAACAUAUUCGAGAUUUUAUUUUUCUAGAAUUUUUAUAUAGAAGUUUAUAUUUUUUAAAAUAAAUUUGAGUUUUUUUUAGAAUUUUUAUAUAGAAUCGAGGUAAAUUGGCAAAAAAAAUUAUAAAAACAAAAUACUAAAAUUGUUAUUAUAGCAACUAAAAAGUGUCAUUUAACAAUAGGGUGACCAAAUUGUAACUUUUUUAGUUAAGUGACCAAAACGAAGAUUUACCCAUAGUUUAGUGGCUAAUUAUGUAGUUUACCCUUUCAUAAUUAAAAAAUAGUUGUUAAGUUUUUCUUGUAUUAGAUAACAAUUUAGAUGGUAAAAACCCUCUUUAGUCCCUCUCAAUUUUGAUAUUAAGUAAAAUUGUCCAUUUAAAAAAAAAAUCAAAGCAAUUUAAUAUUUGUUAAUUUCGAAAGUGAGCAACUAAGGACAAUUAAUCACAAUGUCAAUAUUUUCCAUCAAUUGUACAUAUUUUUAUUGGUGUAAUAACAAAUUUAGCUCUCAAAGUUUACACAUUCUGUCAAUUUAGUCUUGAUUUAACAAAUUUAACCCGCAACAAUUACAUAUUCUAUUAACAUUGACACAUAAUAUAUAAACAUUGAGAGCUUAAUUUUUUAUUGUAUCAAUAAAAAUUAUGUACAAUUUACAUAAAGCAUUAACACAAUGAUUAAUUGUCCUUAGUUGCUCCCUUUCAAAAUUGAUCAUGAUUAAAUUGCUCUAAUUUUCUGAGAGGAACCAAUUUGUUCAAUAUAGAAAUUGAGAGGGACGAGAAAUGUGUUUUUUAUCCAUUUUAGAUACCAACAAGUGUUUGGCAUAGUCGCAAGACAUAUUACAUUCUCAAGGAGAGAAUGCGUAGUCAAACGUUGGAGAUAUCAAUGUUGUGUGGGGUAUCCAAGGAUCUCGAACACGAACUGUAAAACAUAUAUAAAGAAUAAAAAAAUAACAUCUUAAUUUAAAUAAUUAUAAAUUUUAAUUUGAAAAAAGUAUUUUGAGAAACAUAAGUUUUAGAAGUAGUAAAAUUGAAUCGAUAAAACAUGUCCAUUAUAUCAGAAUCAUAAAAAUACAACUUAAUUAAUUUGAAUUUAAACUUAACUCAACUCGACUUGAUUAUAAAAACUGAUAAUUUGAAUUCAAAAUGACAUGAUCUUGAAAUGAUUUGAAUUAAUUGUCAGACCCGAACGACAAAACUCGAAAUGAUGCAAUCCAAAAACACAAAUCAAGUGAACUAAACUACGAAAAAAAAAACCUUACACUGACUCAAAUCCAAAAUAGUUUAAUCCUAAAAUAACCUAAAUUUUAUAUAAUAAAAACUCGAAAUAACCCGAAAAUUUUUAAAUUAAAAUUGAUCCGACCCAAAUUCACACCACCUAAAAUCAAUCGUAACCACCUAAUUAAAAAGCAUGAAAUGAAAUGAUGUAAAGAGAAAAUCAGAGAAAACCAAAUAGAAAGUAACAAGCCUUUUUCAGAAUUGAAAGCAAAUUCCGUACAUUCACGACAUGCAUAAAACAACAAUGGUUUAUAGAAUUUGAGUUUUAGUCCCUGUACUUUAAAAGUUAAUUUUUCUUAAUUUAAAAACUUUAGUUUAAUCAUUUAUGUUGGUUGUAGUUUCCGUUAGCUUAAUCAACAUGUUAAAUUACUAAAUUUUGACAAAAAAUACUUACGAGUUUAAUGAUUGUACCGAGAUUUUUAAAUAAAAAAGUCGGAAGACUAAUUUCUAACCUUUUAAAUAUAGGGACUAAAAGCAUCUUUUAACUUUGAUAUUAUUAUUAUAAGCAGGGAUAAUGUCACCUUUGGCAUCUGUACUUUCAUAAAAUGUCUAGUGGUACAAGUACUUUGAAAAUAUAUAAUGUGGUACCUGAACUAUCAAUAGGUGUUAUUAUUAUGGUACAUGUACUUUGAAAAUGUUUAAUGUGGUACCUAAACUAUCAAUAUAUAUUUUAUUAUGAUACUUGAUAAAGACGGACUAUGGUGGCUUAGGGGGCUCUUUGUCCCGCCACCCUUGCAAAAAAAAAAAAAAUCGAAGAAUUUUGUUUUUUCCUUUAAAAUUUUUAGAAAAUUUCAAUUAGGCCCUCAAAAUUUUUGAAAAUUUUCAUUAUACCUUUUAAUUUUUUUGAAAAUUUUAAUUAAGCACUCUUAAAUUUUGAAAAUUCUCAUUGAUCUCACAAAAAUUUUAAAAUUUUUUAUUAGACCCCCAAUUUUUUUAAAAAAAAUCUUAUUAAACCAUUAAAUUUUUAGCAAAUUUUACCUGCCCCCUCCCCCCCAAAAAAACCUAGUCCCAACUACUAGUAUCCGCCAUUGUUACUUGGUAUUAACACUGUUAGAAAAUUGCUAAAUCAACCAAUAAAAAUUUGACACAUAGAACCCUUUUUUUAAUUAUCAAGUCCACGUGGAUAAUAUAAUAGUGAAAAAAUAAAUAAAAAAUAAUUAAAUGAAAUUAAAAAACAAAUAACUAAACAUAUGGUUAAUAAAAAAAAACCCAUACUUUCAAAGAUAAUAAAAAAUAUUAUUUAAAAAUCAAUUGAAAAUAUUAUUUUAAAAGGAAAACUCUUUGAAGAAGAUGAUCAUUUGCUUAAAUGGAGAAUAUAAUAUUUUUGGUUAUGUAAGUUUAGUAUUUACUUCUUUUUUAUUAAUCAUAUGUUUAGUUUUUUUUUUAAUUAAUUUAAUUGUUUUAUUUAGUUUUUCACAUAAUGUUAUUUUACACAUGCGGACUUGAUGAAUUAGAAAAAAAAUAUUAUGUGUCAAAUUUUCAUUGGUUGGUCUAAUAAUUCAUUAACGGUGGAUUUGUUCUACAUUGAUGACAAAGAUGUGGAGUUUAAAGAAGUAAGAACUUAUCAACAAUAUUCGAGGUUCUGUUAUAUGUUACCUUAUUAAAAAAGUCAUCACUUAAAUUCUUCUAUGUUGCCUUAUGUAUGUAGGUUCUUGAGUCACCUUUGCCAAAAGCACCGCUUGAUACAUCUGUUACAUCCCACUGGCUUGCGAUUGAAGGCAUUCAACCAGCAAUUCCAGAAAAUGCUUCAAUUGAAGGUACCGUCUUAGCUAACCUAAAUAUUCUCUCGAAGCUAUUUGUGUUGAAGACUCUCAUGGUUCAUGUUCUUUUCUGGUUUUAUCACUUUAAUCUAAUACGACUUAUCGUCAUUUCUACACGGAAUUUGUAUUUUGCUUUCCAUGCAGCACCUUCUGAUGGUAAAAAGGCUGAAUACAAAAAAGAUGGGCUUUCCGUUGAUGUCAAAUUACCUGUUAAGCAUGUAUUAUCUAGAGAGCUUCAAGUAUGUUGUACAUCUUCAGCAACAUUUUUCUGUUAAAAUACAUUUUGCACAGAAUGAUAUUAAAAGACUAAUUUGGUUGUCAUGCAGCUUUACUUUGACAAGAUCGUGGACAUUACCAUGAAUAAAUCAGUCUCAAUUCUCUUUAAACAAGCAUUACUGAGUUUGGCAACAGACUCGGGAUUACAUCCUUUAGUUCCUUAUUUUACAUAUUUUUGCGGAUAUCUCAUACCUGAUUAUAUAUGUGUGUUGCAAAGAACUUUUGGUUGGUUAUCUCGAGCUUACAUUUUUGCCACAUUUAUCUCAGGUUGCACGGAGUAAUUUCCCUCUCAUGUUUGCUUUGAUGCGUGUUGCCCGGAGUCUUCUCCAGAAUGAACACUUACACAUAGAACCUUACUUGAGUUUAUUAUUUCAAUCAUUUAGAAGUACACGAACUAAUGCAAAUAUGCUAGUGGUUUAUUUUCCACCUAUCUGAUUUUUUAAAAUGUUCUUCAGUUACACCAGUUGAUGCCAUCUAUUAUUACCUGCCUCGUUGCAAAAAGGUUAGGAAAUAAAUUCACCGACAAUCAUUGGGAACUUAGAAACUUCGCAGCAAAGCUAGUGGCAUCAUUAUGCAAAAGGUGAGGAUUUCUUUUCUUUUGGACUUAUACAUGCAUAUUCGUUUUUAUGAAUCUCAGGUGUCUGAUUUUUUAGUUAUAAACUUGGAUCUAUUCUUCAAAUCAUGUGUAUAUCAUUUUUAUGCUAUUUCACACAUGCAAAACAAAUGGUGCGAGCGUGCAUGUUAUAUGCAGAAUGCAUAGAUUAAUUACAUGUGGAUCAUUAAGCAUGCCUAUGUUUGACCAUUGUGUGUGGCUACUUUUUUUUACAUGAUCCAAUUUUCGAUAUGCUUUGCUUUUAGGUUGAAUGCGGAAAAGAUUAGAACUUAGUUUCCAGCAUAAUGAUUUGUCUUGGAUAUGCAGAUUUUUACAUGCAUUUCUUACAAGUCAAUAUUUUAUAGAUUUGGGCAUGUUUAUCACAAUCUUCAGCCACGUGUGACAAGGACACUGCUCCAUGCUUUUUUGGACCCAACGAAAACAUUUCCCCAGCAUUACGGAGCAAUUCAAGGGUUAGCAGCCCUUGGACCCAGUGUGGUAUAAUUCUAAUCUCAAAUAUUUACUAGCAACACAAUAAGAUACUUGUUUGUGGGAUCAACUGGUCAAAGAUAUUGCAAUGAUAGCCAUCUUUUUAAGCCCAUUUCUUUCAGAAAACUGUUUUGUCACUCUUUUCUGCAAGAUCCGAAGAAAGAAAGAACUUGGAAAUCUAUAGUCCAAAAGUGUAAAUAUGCGGUUUCUCUAUAGGUAUCUUUAUUAUGGCAUCUGUACAGUUUGUCUUUCAUAUGUUUGGCUAACGCUUCUUCUUCCAUGUGUAGGUUCGUUUACUUAUACUACCAAAUCUUGAAGCGUAUUUGCAGCUUCUUGAACCUGAAAUAAAAAGACACGAGGCCUGGUGUGUUUAUGGGGCCCUGCUGGUAAGUUCCACAUCAAAUUUGGUACCAGUUUAUGAGCAUCGUUUCAUUUAUUUGCUGUAGAACUAACAACACUGCAUAAAAUUUCCACUAACAGCGUGCAGCUGGACUGUGCAUGUAUGAUCGGCUUAAAAUGUUCCCCAGUUUGCUAGCACCCCCAACUCGUCCCGUUUGGAAAAGCAACAACAAAGUUGCGACAAGUAUGAUUUCUUCGAACCAUCAUAUUUACACUUAAUCCACAAGUCUCUUCUCCCCCUUUACGAUAUUCCUUUUUCUGAUCAACCAAGAUAAACGAAAAGCAAGCACGGACACCUUGAUGCAGCAGCAACAACCUGCCAAGAAAAUAGCAACUGAGAGUGCAAUAGGUAUGAUGCCAAUAAAUUCCAUGCAAGCUGAUUUACAAGGGUCAGUUAGCGGCUUUUCUACCACCGUAGGAGGUUCCAAUAUCGGUGUAUCAUCAAUGUCACGGCCGUUAUCAAACUAUAACAUGCUUGGAAGGGAGGCUGGGGGUCGAGUUUCAAAGACAUCAACCGUUCUAGCUCAGGCUUGGAAGGAAGACACAGACGCAGGGAACUUGUUAGCAUCAUUAUUUGAACUUUUUGGUGAAAGUAUGUUAUCAUUUACUCCCAAACCUGAGCUUUCAUUCUUCCUUUGAUUGAAUUUCACCUCCAAAAGCUAUAGUUUUUGAAGGAAUUUGUGUAAAUUAUCCCCAUAGUUUUUUUCAGUCUUACUGUGUUUAUCUUUAUAAGUCUUCUUUUUUUCCUUGCUCAUAAAUGUAUUGUAGUUAUCAGAAAAUAUAUUCUACUUUGGAUUUUGUUUAUAUUAAAUUUUAGGUUAAAUUCUGCUAUUAGUCUCUGUAUUUACGAAAAUGAUGGAUUUAGUCCUUAUACCUUAAUUUGAUCAAUUUUAGUCAUUGUAUUUUUUGAAUUGGUCAAUUUUAAACUAUUUACUUUUUGAAGUUUGAAAUUUUAGUCUUGAUCCAAAUAAUAAUAAUAAUUAAAUCUGCUUAUUUAAAUUCAAUUAUUAGUUUUGUAUUAUGUAGAUAGUUAUAAAUUUAGGGUGGGUUUGGAUGGGCUGUGCUUUUACCUGCAGUUAGUGUAAAAAUAGCGGCGGUGGUGAGAUUAGAUAUCCAAGGUACCUAAUUUUUAUUUUGGCCAUAAGUACUACUAAAACUAUUCUUCCGUUACCCAUUUUAUACCAAAAUGUUAUAUCGGCUAAAAAGAUUCCAACAAAUAAUAGAUUGUAUGUCAUAUAAACUUUUUUAAAAAAUCAUUAAUUAAUUAAUUUUUAUAUUUUUCUUUCUUAUUCCUUUAUAAUGUUUGACAAUGUCGAUAAUGCUUGAAAUUGGCCCACUUGAGGUCGAAACGCUGGUGAUUAAUUUUGGUUUUGAAUUUCACCACCUACUUCUCUGACCAGAGGGGAUAGAAAAAGUUCUUUCAUCGAUCAAAACUAGUAUUUUCAAAAACAGACUGAUUCUACGGGUUGGAUAGGAAAUCGGUUUGGAAAUAGGGGUUGAAUCGAUUGACUUGCGAGCAAAAACAAAUCGGUUGAACUAAGCUAAAAAAACUGGUUGAAUAAGUUCUCUCUUUUUAUAUAUAUAUAAAUAAUAAUAGGCUUUGUUUUUACUACAUGUCAAUUUUUAAUUGGUUAAUUUUUUUUUCAUAUAAAUUGAACAAUUUGACUAAUGACGGAGGUACCAAAUUAUAGUCUAGGUACCAAUUUAUGGGUUAAGCCUAUUUAUAAAAUAGACUUUUGACAGUUUGACUAAUGGCGGUAGUAACUUGGGAAAAAAAAGUAGUUUAUGUACCACUUGUGACAAAAAAUAAGAUUAGGUACCAACAUGGGAAAAUGAGUAUAAUUUAGAUACCGAUUUAUGAGUUAAGCCUAAUAUAUUUGUCGCAUAAUUUUUUGAAAAUAACAGAACUUAAUAAAUUUAACGGUUAUUGUUUGGUGAUUACUAAAAUUUUAAAAUUUGAAAAGUACAUGAACUAAAAAUGACCAAAUUAAAAUAUAAAUAUUAAGUCCACAACUUUUGCAAAGUACAAGGACUAAUUGCAGAAAUUAACCUAAAUUUCAUAUGGGUCAAUUACAAAAAUAAUCACUAAACUAUCCCUUUGGUUCUAUUCUAGUCACUCAACUAUAUAGGUGCUCAUGAGCUUGGCCAGGUCAGGCCUAAGUAAGGGUGAGCAUUCGAUUGAAUCGAAAAUAGGGUUUGGGAUAGAUGGGAGGGGAAUAAAAGUUUUAGGGGAAAAGUGGGAGGGAGUAAAAAUUUUGGGAGAAAAUAAAAGGUUUUGAGGGUUUUGGGGAGUAAAAUAUUGAGAAAAAAUAAAUAGGAGAGUAAAAUUUUGGUGGGAAAUGGAUUUUGGGUAGAUUGGGGGGUUGGGAGGGGAGGGGAGUAAAAGUUUUGGGGGGAAAGUGGGAAGGAGUAAAAGUUUUGAGGGAAAAGUAAAAAAGUUUGGGAGUUUGGGGUAAAAAUGUAAAAUAUUAUAGUUUGAUAUUCGAAUUAUUCGAAUUAUUCGAGUUAUUCGAAUUCGAAAACUCAACUCGAUUCGAACUCGAAAUUCGAAAAAAAAUUCGAGUUGAUUCGAAUAACUCGAUUCGUUUAACUCGAAAUUUGAAUUUUUUUCAAUUUUUUCGAGUCGAAUCGAGUUUUGCUCACCCCUAGUUGCAAGUGCAACUUGCGUGGUGGCUGCCAGAAGGACUGAAUCGUAAAUGUAGCAAAAGUUUUGGGGCAAAAAUGUAAUUUUGAGAAAGUUUAGGGUCAAAAUAUAAUUUUAAAAAAUAUUAAGGGUUAAAAUAUAAUUUUAUAAAAAUUUAAGGGUCAAAAUGAAAUUUUAGAAAAGUUCAGAGGUCAAAAUACAAUUUUUAAAUUUUUUUUAAAAAAAAAAACACGAAAUUAUUCCCACAAAAUUAAGUGAUUACACGUAACUUUUCAAUGUAAAAGAAAAAAAAGACUGUAACACCAAUGUUGUGGUGUUAUUUGUUGCCUAUAAAUACCAUUCCUAUUCUUCAUCUUCCUCUGCAAACAUAACAUGGCCCCCUAUCUCUUUCUCUGCCUAUUCCUCUUCUUUCCCCGUCUUUAUGCUUCUUUUUCUUCUUCAGGAUAUCAGUCCUGCUCUUCAUUAAUCCAGUUUAAGGACUCUUUUUCCAUAACAGAGGAUGCUUCUUCUGAUUGCAAUGAGAUUGCUGGCCUUAAAUCUUAUCCCAAGACAAAUUCAUGGAAGGAGGGUACAGAUUGCUGCUCAUGGGAUGGGGUCACUUGUGACCACCUAAAUGCUCAUGUUAUUGCCCUUGACUUGAGCUGCAGUUGGCUAUAUGGCAACUUCCCUUCCAAUACCACUCUCUUCCUUCUUCCUCACCUUCAAAAACUCAACCUUGCCUACAAUGAUUUUAAUCUUUCCAAAAUUCCAUCCGAGUUCGGUCGGUUUACAAGCCUAUUCUACCUCAACCUUUCCCAUACAGAGUUUGAAGGAGAAGUCCCAUCCCAAGUCUCCCACCUGUCAAAAUUGGUUUCACUUGAUCUCUCCUCUCGGAUUGAUUACUCUGGGCAAGUUACAAUUGACAAACAUGCUCUGGAGGGACUUGUUCACAACCUAACCGAGGUCAGACAUCUGUUUUUGGAUGGAAUGGACAUGUCUUCUGUUAAUGCUCAUGUCUUCAUGAAUCUAUCCUCUUCUCUAAGGUCUCUCAGUCUUGCUUAUUGUGAUUUGCAAGGAAAAUUCCUAAAAAACAUUAUUGAUUUGCCAAACCUCAAUCUCCUCAACUUGGGACGUAACCAAAACCUCAAUCUUGAUCCUUUGAAGUUCAAUCGGAGCAGCAAUCUCGAACAUUUGGAUCUGUCGUGGAUGUCCUUCUCUACAGAAUCCGUUAAUUCAGUUGAUAAUCUACAGGCCUUAAAGUACUUAGAUCUAUCAGGAAAUUCUUUCUUUCAAGGAUUGUCUGUCUCAAUCACAAAUUUAUCAUCUUUGGAGCAAUUGAUAAUUUCAGGCGCAAAUUUUUUUGGAGGAUUGCCUGACUCGAUGGGGAAUCUUGUGUCCUUGAAGUUUUUAUUUCUCUCCGAUUCCAACUUUUCAGGACCGCUUCCAAGAUCACUGGGAAACCUCUUUCAACUCAAGUGUUUAGACUUGAGAUCAAACAAAUUGAGUGGACAAAUUCCAUUGUCAAUUCUAAACCUAACGCAGUUGGAAUACUUGGAAAUAUCUGAAAAUUCUUUAGAAGGUUCCAUUCCAGAUGAGGUAACCGCUUUUCCUAAUCUAAUAUAUUUAUACUUAUCUGACAAUUUACUCAGUGGAACACUUCCGUCAUGGUUGUAUACUGCUCCCUCAUUAGACAGUAUAGGUCUCUCUCAAAAUCAAUUCAGUGGGCAUAUCAAAGAAUUCCAAUCCAAAUCACUAGAAUUGAUAGCGUUAGAGAGUAAUAAACUCCAAGGUCCUCUUCCAUCUUCAAAAUUCCAACUUCUCAAUCUUACCCACCUCUCUUUAUCCUCAAGUAAUCUCAGUGGUGUCAUAGAGUUUCGCAUGUUCUCAAACCUUCCAAAUCUAAAACUUCUUGACCUUUCAUACAACAGCCUAUCCUUAGCAUCUAAUACUACUUCUUGUGUUAACCAUAUAUUGCCUAAUCUUACAGACUUACGUUUGUCAUCUUGCAAUCUUAGUGAAUUCCCCCAAUUUUUGAAAGGGCUUAAAAGUUUGAAAAGGUUAGACCUCUCUUGCAACAAAAUUGAAGGCAAGAUUCCACAGUGGAUGCAAGAGGUGGGGAAUGGCUCUUUGACUUACUUAAACGUAUCUCACAACUAUUUGACAGAAGUUGAGCACUUUCCACGGAAGAAUAUUGAAGUUCUUGACUUAAGCUCCAAUUUGAUCAGUGGAAAUCUUCCGAUUCCAGCUUCGACCAUCAAUGUCUUUUUGAUCUCAAAUAAUAGUUUCAAUGGAGAGGUCUCUUCUUUAAUAUGCAAUGCCAGUUAUCUUAAAAUUCUUGAUUUGUCCCACAAUAACUUGAGUGGAACAAUUCCGCAAUGUUUUGGAAAUUUGAGCAACAGCCUUCAAUUCUUGAAUCUGAAGAAGAACAAGUUCUAUGGGACGAUUCCUCCAACAUUUGCAGAGGGAUGCCAAUUGACUAAUUUCAACAUAAAUGGAAAUCUGUUAGAAGGGCCUUUGACACCAUCCAUCCUUAAUUGUAAUGAACUGGAAGUGCUAGAUCUUGGUAACAACAAGAUCAAUGAUACAUUUCCUCAUUGGUUGGGCAGUCUUCCAUUUUUGCAAGUUCUUGUAUUGAAGUCAAAUCAUAUGCAUGGUUCCUUGCGUGUCAAUAGCUCCAAGUCUAGCCCUUUUUUCUCUAAAAUCCAAAUUUUUGAUCUCUCGAGUAAUUAUUUUUCUGGACCUCUACCUGUGAGAUACAUCAACAGCUUCAAGGCUAUCAUAAAUCUAGAUAAGAUUGGGAGUACAAUGUCGUACAUGGGGGUGUAUGCUCAGAGAGGUAGUGGCUUCUAUACCUAUUCCAUUGGAAUUGUUAUGAAAGGACAAGAUAUGGAAUUGGUGAAAAUUUUCACCAUGUGGAUGAUCAUUGAUCUAUCAAACAAUCAGUUUGAAGGGUGUAUUCCAGAGGUUUUUGGGAAGCUUAACUUACUGAAAGGGCUCAACCUUUCUCAUAACAACCUUCAUGGUGGUAUCCCCACCUCAAUAGGGAAUUUGACAAGUCUUGAAUGGUUGGACCUAUCUUCAAACAGGUUGUCUGGGACGAUUCCAAAUAGAUUGGCAGAUCUGGCAUUUCUUUCGUCCUUCAAUGUUUCUGAUAAUCAGCUCCAUGGUCAGAUUCCUCAAGGCAAACAGUUCAACACAUUUGGAAAUGAUUCAUAUGAAGGAAACAAGGGAUUAUGUGGAUUUCCAGUCUCGAAAGGUUGCAACAUCAUUGAGCCACCACCUCCAAAUGUGCUUGAAAAAGAUGGCUCAAAAUCAAACAUUACUUUUGGUUGGAAAGUGGUGUUGAUAGGUUAUGGAUGCGGAGUGGUGUUGGGAAUGUCCGUGGGAUAUGUUGUUUUCCAAACUGGUAAGCCGAAAUGGUUGGUGAAUUUGGUUGAAAUCCAACAUGAGAAGAAGCAAAGACGAAAGUCAAAGAAAGGCAAUCGAAGCAAUAGACGAAGAAGGAUCUAAGUACAGCAAAUGAUGUUCAAGAAUUAGUGUUGUAUUUUCAAAAUUUCUUGUUCUGUAGACCGUUUUGCCCAUGGUGAAGGGUUGCAUUGGUAUGUGUAUGUCUUUAUUAUUGUACCAAUUCCUGUCUUUCAUUGCAUUUCGUACUAUCUGUAAUGGUUUGUUUGAGUGUAACAUUUUGUAUGGUAUUGUUGUUUAUGUCUUCUUUCAUGACUUUCCAUUUAGUCUCGAUAAUCUUUGCUACUGCUCAGUAAAGGAGGAAGGAGAAUAAAAUGUCUCAAUUUAUGUCAAUUUAUGCUUGCAGAUUUGACGUGGAAUGUUGUUGAACUGAAGGUUGUUUAACUUUUGUCUUCUAAGCUAUACAUGAACAUAUGGGAUGUGACAAAUAUUAUUUUAGCUUUUGCUUAUGAAAUGUUGAAAUAGUGAGUUUAUAUUCCUUGAUUAAUAAAAAGUGAGAUGGAGAUAGUCAAACCUCAAUUUCCACAUUGAAAUUGAAUCCAAACAUUAAUUGGUGGAUCACAUGUCUUGUAUUCUGUCAAGUUAAAGGGAGUGAAUAGAGCACCAUUCUUCUUCUGCGUGGAAAAUAAGUUGGCGUUAUGCCAAUUUUCACAUUCAUACAUAUAAAGGAAGCAAGACCAAGUCAAUAUACUUUGUAAUCUCAUCAUUUCUUCUUCAUUCUUUAGGGAGUUCAAAUGAAAUACAAAUUUUUGGUAAAUCAACUCUUCUUUUUUAUGAAUAAAAAUUAUAUGGUAAAAAGGAAGUGGUGUUAAUAAUAAUAAUAAUAAUAAUAAUAACAACAACAAUACAAAACUAAUAAAGCAAUUUAGUCUAUGAUUUGCACAAUGAUUAAUGUAGCGACCUAAAAAUUUAGGCACGAGCGCUAAUUGAAGUGAUUAUUGAAAAUUUGAAAACAGAAUCUCGAUUUUAUUUGAAAAAGGAGUCGCUAUCGAUCUUUUUUUCUAGGUGUGAUCGGACACCUAAUAAAUUCUCUUUUUAGAAGAAAAAUUUAUUUUUAAAUUUUUCUAAAAAUAGGUAAUUUUUCUAAAAAAUUUAGGGGUCAAAAUGUAAUUUUUUAUUUUUUGAAUUUUUUUUGAAAUUUAAAAAAAUAUAUAUAUAUAAACACGACAAAACCCGGACAAAAUUUAGUGCUUACAAUUAAUACCUAAUUUGAUCCUUGAAUUAUAGUUCAAAAAGUAUUUUUAUAUUUUUAAAUUUUCAUAAAAAUAAUUGUAUCAAAAUUUAAAAAUCUUAAAAAUAAAUACAAAUUUUAUAUAAAAAAUCAAUUGGCCCAAGAAAAAAAAUUUACCAACUAAAUUUUCCAUAUCCAAACUCAUAAAUAAUUCUUCUUUGAACUUUCACAAAAAAAUAUUAAAUACCCUUUCACUUUAUCAUUAUAAAUAUAAUAUACAUUUUUUUCCUUCUUUUUCAUGUAGAUCAGCUUCAACUCUACUAUUCUUAGAUCAUUAUAAAUAUAAUAUAUGUUUUAUUUACAGCUGAAAGUAAAACCUUGAGUUGAAAUUUGGCAGAAAAAAUUGUGGGUUUGGAGAAGAAGAAGAGCACUUUGUAUUUAAAUUUAAAAAAUCAAAAAUUUCAAAACUGAAAGUUACUCAAAACCCUAAACAAUCUAAUAAUUGGAGUUAUAGAAAAGAAAUAUGAGUUUAGAAAUAAAUAAAACAAAAUAAAUUUGCAAAACAAUUUCUAGGCAAAACAACAUGAAGUUGUUGAUGUGAUUGAAGGUGUUCUUCAACGGUGGAAAACAAAUAGAAUUUAAUUUGAAAAUUUUAAGAUUUUUUAAAUAAUAAAAAAUUGCAUUAGUUUAAAAACUUUAGUUUUAAUUUUAAGAUAUUUUUAGAUUUAUACAUAUUUAAUUAUUUUUAGAUUUUUUAGAUUUAAAUGAAGUUACAAUUAUUUUUGAAAACGGUACCUCUACAUUUUUGAAGGUACAAGGAAAUAAAAUAUGGAUUUGGUAUCGAUACUUCGGCCCGAGUAUCAAUGCUCGAGGUAAGUUUAUUGAUACCUUGCGAAAGGUACCAAUAAUUUUUUUAUAUUUUGAUAUUUGGUAAGAAACAUAAUGUUAGUUUGGUAUCGAUUUUCCAUGAGAUAUCAAUACCACUUAAAGAAAAUAUCGAUAGCCCUAGGACAGUAUCAAUACCUAUGUAACAGUUUUAGAAAUUUUGCAACUGGGCCCAUUUGUAGGUUUGAUUGAUGUUUUUAAUACCCUUAGUGUAUGUAUGGCAUGUUUUAAUGAUAAGAAGUGGUUGAACGACUACAACUCAUACGUAGGAUUGAAUAAAGAUGAUGAUUGGUUACUUGUGAAAUUGUUUGCUAAGUAAAUGAUGCAUGAUGGUGGUGUAACAUCCUAAUAUUUCGGCUUGGCGACUGAGCCGAGUAUAGGGUGUUACAAUGUGUUCCACAAGUUUCAUCAGCAAUCCUCAAUGCAUCUAAUUAAUUGGGAAAAUUGAGAAAAUAGAAAUGGUCAAGAAGAUGUAACAUGAUGAGUACCUCUUUGCACCGUCAAGAAUUUUAGUAAGUCUCCAAAUUCAUUCAUUAACCCUCCUUCCUGUUAAAUAUUUAUCAUUAAUUUUAUUAAAUUAAAACAUAAAUUUUUAUAAAUCUAAAGUGUAAUUUAUGAGCCGGGUUAUUCAAUCCAAAAAAAAAAAAUCAGCCAAGACUCUUUGGACAAAUUGCUUGAGUAAAACCAGAAAAUGAAUAACAAUUUUGAUGGAUUUUGAUUACAAAUGAAUUGAGGCAUAAUGCCAUUACAUAUACCAUGCAUUCAGCUGGUCAAAAUGAGACAGACAUCACCUAAUCAUCAACCUAACUCCACUAAGUAGCCUUGAAACUUAUGAAAACAUAACUUGCACACAUAGGUACGCUGAUUUAUCAAUCUAUCAGCACCUAAUUACAUCAAACAUGUUACCAACUUAGUUCAAAUCAAACUAAGCAAGAAAACAUUAACUUAAAGUAACAAAAAAUGAACAGCAGCAUGAACUUCAGCUGCAACUGCAUGGCUGGAGCAGCUCUGCUUCUUGUCUGCAUGCCGGCCAACUUCAACAAGAUCUGAGUAAGGCUAAUUUGUCCAGAAGUUGCAUCAUGCAAAACUAUUUAAUGGCUUUUAGGUAGCUUUGUCAACGGCAAAAAAAAUGAGAAAAUUAGUCAAAUUUCUUCCAUUUUUAUCUUUAAAAAUUUGGUUUUGUGCGUCAACAUGAAGUACAUGUGGCACGUACAUGCAAACUGUCUGAUUAUUUAGACAUCUACACUAGUUUUUAAAGGUAAAAAUAGAAGAAAAUUUUAAUAAACAAGACCAAUUAACUCUUUUAUCUAGCAUACAAGAAUUAUUCUAUACAUCUUUCAAUAAAUGGGGAAAAUUACAUCCACACAUUCUCCACAUUUCAGACCUGUAAUUCUAGCCAAUUGGUCACAAGCAUACAUGUCCCAUUUCAAUAUUCAAAGGUCUGCUUUGAUUAUUUUAUUUUGUGUUCUGUUGUCGCCCCAAAAUAGUUCCACUUGGCACAUCUCCAUACAUUUCAAACAUACCAAAAAUCUGCUGGCAAGCAAUACAAGACAAGUUCCAGCCACUUCAACAUUUGGCUCCUGUUCAUUGCCAAAAGAAAAAAAUAAACAUUUUUUAUAUUUAAUUGAAGGUCAAAAACACAUAAAAAGACAACCGGACAGCUAGUAUUUCAUCCAAUCUUCACAACAUGUCUGUGUGCGUGCAGAUCCUUCACUUCCCAGAAGCCUUUAGCGCGUAUUCUAUUAUAAAAUCACAGAUUACUAUUUAAAUGAUAAAUAAAUUAUUUAAAGUAUGAAAAUAUACAUGUUUUUUUUUAUUGGCUUAAGGGCGUAAAAAAUCCUUAAAUUUUUUUUUUAAAAAAGACAAUUAAAUUUCUCCUUUUUUUACACUCAAUUGAGCACUUAAAGUUUUAAAAUGCAUCAAAAAUACUCUCAAACUUCUUCCGAAAAAACAAUUAAAUCCUUAUUUUCUUUCCCACUCAAUUGGGUGCUUGAACUUUUUCAUAAUAUUUUUUUGGGCGAUUUAAUGAACCAUACAAGUUUCAAGGCUAAAAGAGGCAAAAGAAAAAGAAAAAGAAAAAGAAGCUAAAAUGACUUUUUGUUUGUAAAGUCAAAAAAUACCAAAUAAAUCAUUAUGUCUUUUUAGUUUUAAUUUUUUACUUGAUUAAAAGAGAAAUAAUUAACGAAUGAAAAAUAGCUAUUCCUAAAUAAAUUUAUCAGAAUUUAUAACAAAUGAGAUUUUAGAUUUGAAGUAUGAGGUUAUAUAUAUUAUAUAAGUAUACCUGUUUUUAUGGAAUCGGUGGAUUAUAUUUUCGACAGUCUUCUUCCCCAAGCGUAGUGAAUAGAGCACAAUUUUGUUCUUUUGGAUGGAAAAGAAUUUCUACAUUAAUUAGAUUUGGUUGACAGGCAAAUGAAUAGAUACACACAUUUUUUACGUGUUAUUAAGGAAGAAGACUAAGUCAAUCUACUUUGUAAUCUCAUCAAUCUUAAUUUUUUUAGUUGUUUAGGGAGUUCAAAUGAAAUACAAGAUUUUGCUAUAAAAAAAAAAAGCAUCCAAUUUUAAGAAUGAAAAAUAUACGGUAAAAAGAAGACUAAUGGUUGUUGAUGAUUGUGAAAAAUACAAAAAUUAUUUGUUGCCUAUAAAUACCAUUCCUAUCCUUCAUCUUCCUCUACAAACAUAACAUGGCCUCCUAUCUCUUUCUCUGCCUAUUCCUCUUCUUUCCCCAUCUUUAUGCUUCUUUUUCUUCUUCAGGAUCUCACUCCUGCUCUUCGCUAAUCCAGUUCAAGAAUUCUUUUUCCAUCACUCAGACAGAUGUUGCUUCUUCUUAUUGCGAUGAUCAAUCUUAUCCCAAGACAGAUUCAUGGAAGGAGGGUACAGAUUGCUGCUCAUGGGAUGGGGUCACUUGUGACCACCUAAAUGCUCGUGUUAUUGUCCUUGACUUGAGUUGCAGUUGGCUAUAUGGCAACUUCCCUUCCAAUACCACUCUCUUCCUUCUUCCUCACCUUCAAAAACUCAACCUUGCCUACAAUUAUUUUAAUCUUUCCAAAAUUCCAUCCGAGUUCGGUCGGUUUAUAAGCCUAUUCUACCUCAACCUUUCCAAUACAGGGUUUGCAGGAGAAGUCCCAUCCCAAGUCUCCCACCUGUCAAAAUUGGUUUCACUUGAUCUCUCCUGUCGGGCUGAUGCACAAACAAUUGACAAACAUGCUCUGGAGGGACUUGUUCACAACCUAACCGAGGUCAGACAUCUGUUUUUGGAUGGAAUCAACAUGUCUUCUGUUAAUGCUCAUGUCUUCAUGAAUCUAUCCUCUUCUCUAAGGUCUCUCAGUCUUGCUUUUUGUGAUUUGCAAGGAAAAUUCCCAAAAAACAUUUUUGAUUUGCCAAAC
Molecule: long non-coding RNA, 23497 nt
Filed under: Gossypium barbadense (sea-island cotton)
Lineage: Eukaryota; Viridiplantae; Streptophyta; Magnoliopsida; Malvales; Malvaceae
Description: long non-coding RNA (GBAR_LNC022897)
Source: RNAcentral